GUGGCUUGUCACCAGGCCCCAGGUUGGCCUGGGCUCCCUGGGACGAGCUUGGGGUGGGGCCGUGGGAGCCGUGGCCUGUCCUGCGGGAGGUGACCCAGGUUCUGGAAGUGUCUCCGCUGUCUUCCUGCUCAGGUUGGACCCGUCUCCCAGACAGUGAUUGCAUCAUUGAAGGCAUCUGAUGAGCCAGAAAAGAAGACAUUUCUCAACUGCUGUAACUCAGCCGGAAUCCUGGCCUCCAUGCACAGGGAGACGUACAGUGACGUGGCAGAUGUUGGCUGCCUACCCAACAGCCAUCCCCUUCCCUGGUCCACACUUCCACGUUCUUUCUGGCUAAAUAGAACCCAGUUCUGUUCAGGAGUCAAGUGACAUGUGUUUCAUGGCAGGUGGGGCCCAGGCCCUGGCCUCAGUCCCAGGGAGGGAUCCUGACUGACCUAAACAAGGGGUUUUCAACCCCGAGUACACAUUAGAGUGUCUGAGAAAAUUUUAAAGAUACCCAUGAAUGGGGGCUGGCCCCGUGGCUGAGUGGUUAAGUUCACGCACUCCGCUGCAGGCGGCCCAGUGUUUCGUCGGUUUGAAUCCUGGGCGCGGACAUGGCACUGCUCAUCAAGCCACACUGAGGUGGCGUUCCACGUGCCACAACUAGAAGGACCCACAACUAAAAAUAUACAACUAUGUACCGGGGGGCUUUGGGGAGAAAAAGGAAAAAAAAAUAAAAUCUUUAAAAAAAAAAAGAUACCCAUGAAUGGAUCCCAUCUGGGGUCAGUUAAAGCAGAGUCUGUGGGGCUGGGACCUUGGUGUACUUACUUUUUCUUUAAGCUCCCCAGGUGAGUCUAAUGUGCAGCCACACUUAAGAAUCAAACAUUCACAGUAAUAAUUCCAUUCUCCUUGCCAGUGACUGACUUGAGAAUGAACAGAAGGCAUGGUUAUGGCACAAAAGGAGACAUAAAAGGAAGUCUGCCCCAUUAUUCUUCACGAGGGACAUGAGGAAAAGAUACGUGUUCUUCUGACCUUCUGACUUUCGGACAUUGUUGUGUGAGAUUGAUGGCAGCCAUCUUGUCACCAUGAGGGGCAAGCUUUCAAAGGUUACUCUGCUGACAAUGGCAGAGCAAAAACAUGGCAAGACCCUGGGUUCAACUUGCCAUUGAAGUCUUGCAUUUGAUAUAGAACUGCUAAGUUCACCAACUCUGGAGCCACCUCAAUCUCUGGACUUCUGGCGAUGUGAGAUAGUAAAUAUUCUUUACUGCUUAAAUCAC
Molecule: long non-coding RNA, 1253 nt
Filed under: Equus caballus (horse)
Lineage: Eukaryota; Metazoa; Chordata; Mammalia; Perissodactyla; Equidae
Description: lncRNA (ENSECAG00000057732.1)
Source: RNAcentral